Molecule: transfer RNA, 90 nt
Filed under: Betaproteobacteria bacterium
Lineage: Bacteria; Pseudomonadati; Pseudomonadota; Betaproteobacteria
Description: tRNA-Leu
Rfam family: tRNA
About the family: Transfer RNA (tRNA) molecules are approximately 80 nucleotides in length.
Source: RNAcentral
GCCCGGAUGGCGAAAUCGGUAGACGCAGCGGACUUAAAAUCCGCCGACCCGAACAGGGUCGUGGGGGUUCGAUUCCCCCUCCGGGCACCA